This 498-nucleotide ribosomal RNA is filed under the name uncultured bacterium. RNAcentral describes it as "partial 16S ribosomal RNA". It matches the Rfam family "Bacterial small subunit ribosomal RNA", at positions 30 to 523 of the family's 1533-position model. The record is from RNAcentral.
AUCGAACGCUGGCGGCAUGCUUUACACAUGCAAGUCGAACGGUAACAGGCCGCAAGGUGCUGACGAGUGGCGAACGGGUGAGUAAUGCAUCGGAACGUGCCCAGUCGUGGGGGAUAACUAUCCGAAAGGAUAGCUAAUACCGCAUACGAUCUGCGGAUGAAAGCGGGGGACCUUCGGGCCUCGCGCGAUUGGAGCGGCCGAUGUCAGAUUAGGUAGGUGGUGGGGUAAAGGCUCACCAAGCCAACGAUCUGUAGCUGGUCUGAGAGGACGACCAGCCACGCUGGGACUGAGAAGCGGCCGAGACUCCUACGUGAGGCAGCAGUGGGGAAUUUUGGACAAUGGGCGCAAGCCUGAUCCAGCAAUGCCGCGUGCAGGAAGAAGGCCUUCGGGUUGUAAACUGCUUUUGUACGGAACGAAACGGCUCUGGUUAAUACCUGGGGCUAAUGACGGUACCGUAAGAAUAAGCACCGGCUAACUACGUGCCAGCCGCCGCGGUAA